This 226-nucleotide long non-coding RNA is filed under the name Salvia miltiorrhiza (redroot sage). RNAcentral's name for it is "long non-coding RNA (SMIL_LNC011608)". Lineage: Eukaryota; Viridiplantae; Streptophyta; Magnoliopsida; Lamiales; Lamiaceae. The record is from RNAcentral.
GUUGCUUCUGAGCCUCUUCAGCCUCCGUUUUAUCAGUCAGCUUCUUCAAUUGCUCUUGCAGAGCUCGCAUUUGAAUUUGGAUUUGCUCAGGAGUAGCCAUCGUAUCUGUCUCAACUUGAUUGUUCUGCUUCUUAAGAUCGCGCAAAGUCUUGUUGAUUUCAAGGUCCAACUCAAAAAGAGGAUUUCCGUGAGAUCUAGUGUUCAUACGCAACCUAUAGAAACACAC